Molecule: ribosomal RNA, 253 nt
Filed under: uncultured bacterium
Lineage: Bacteria
Description: partial 16S ribosomal RNA
Rfam family: Bacterial small subunit ribosomal RNA
Source: RNAcentral
UACAGAGGGUGCGAGCGUUAAUUGGAUUUACUGGGCGUAAAGCGUGCGUAGGCGGCUUCUUAAGUCGGAUGUGAAAUCCCUGAGCUUAACUUAGGAAUUGCAUUCGAUACUGGGAAGCUAGAGUAUGGGAGAGGAUGGUAGAAUUCCAGGUGUAGCGGUAAAAUGCGUAGAGAUCUGGAGGAAUACCGAUGGCGAAGGCAGCCAUCUGGCCUAAUACUGACGCUGAGGUACGAAAGCAUGGGGAGCAAACAGG